This 50-nucleotide non-coding RNA is filed under the name unclassified sequences. The record is from RNAcentral.
CCUGACACCUUAGGCCGCCGCACAGUAAAGCGACGGCACCCCACCAAAAU